RNAcentral lists this ribosomal RNA (718 nucleotides) under [Candida] boidinii. RNAcentral describes it as "eukaryotic LSU rRNA". The stretch from base 312 to 465 matches the Rfam family "5.8S ribosomal RNA". Lineage: Eukaryota; Fungi; Ascomycota; Pichiomycetes; Pichiales; Pichiaceae. The record is from RNAcentral.
AGGAACAAGGUUUCCGUAGGUGAACCUGCGGAAGGAUCAUUACAGAAUCUCUUCUAAAGUUUUGUUAUGAGUAAUUAUUCUAGCGCUGCUGAAAUAUUGCGUGCGCGGUUGGUUGCUUGUGAUAAUUCUUUGGGAAAACUCUAUACACUUUGUUUUCUUAUUAGAGACAAACUUGCUUUGGUCAGAUGUGCGUAAAACCACGACUGAUCAGAGAUUAAAUAAAACUCAUUUUUGUUUUCGGGCAAAAAACGUGUAUUAUUCAUAGUCAAAACUUGAAGCUAUUCUUUAUUGAAUUGCUGAACUAAACUUAAAACUUUCAACAACGGAUCUCUUGGUUCUCGCAUCGAUGAAGAACGCAGCGAAGUGCGAUAAGUAAUGUGAAUUGCAGAUUUUCGUGAAUCAUCGAAUCUUUGAACGCAUAUUGCGCCCUCUGGUAUUCCGGAGGGCAUGCCUGUUUGAGCGUCAUUUCCUUCUCAUAUCCCUAGGAUGUGGUGAUGAGCGAUACUUUCGUAAGAAAGUUCGUUUGAAAUGAAUUGGCACGAGUCUUUCGACAGAUUGAUGCUAUGUUUUCAAUGUAUUAGGUUUACACCAUCGUUGAUUGUAGUAUUGGGCUGUUGAAGUUAUGGGCUUUGCUUUACAAACUUUACCUUAAAGUUUGACCUCAAAUCAGGUAGGAUUACCCGCUGAACUUAAGCAUAUCUAAAAGGGGAAAAAAGAA